GUUGUAUGGUUAAGUGACUAAGCGUACACGGUGGAUGCCUUGGCAGUCAGAGGCGAUGAAAGACGUAGUAACUUGCGAUAAGCCCAGAUUAGGUAGUAACAACCAUUUGAGUCUGGGAUUUCUGAAUGGGGAAACCCACUUACAUAAGUAAGUAUCAUUAACUGAAUACAUAGGUUAAUGAGGCGAACCGGGGGAACUGAAACAUCUAAGUACCCCGAGGAAAAGAAAUCAACCGAGAUUCCGAAAGUAGCGGCGAGCGAAAUUGGACUAGCCCUUAAGCUUUACACGCGUUAGACGAACGGUCUGGAAAGUCCGACGAUACAGGGUGAUAGUCCCGUAGUUGACGACGUGUGUUCAGUGAAAUCGAGUAGGGCGGGACACGUGAUAUCCUGUCUGAAUAUGGGGGGACCAUCCUCCAAGGCUAAAUACUACUGACUGACCGAUAGUGAACCAGUACCGUGAGGGAAAGGCGAAAAGAACCCCUGUGAGGGGAGUGAAAUAGAACCUGAAACCGUGUACGUACAAGCAGUAGGAGCAGGCUUUGUCCUGUGACUGCGUACCUUUUGUAUAAUGGGUCAGCGACUUAUAUUCAGUGGCAAGGUUAACCAUCUAGGGGAGCCGUAGGGAAACCGAGUCUUAACUGGGCGUUCAGUCUCUGGAUAUAGACCCGAAACCAGGUGAUCUAGCCAUGGGCAGGUUGAAGGUUGAGUAACAUCAACUGGAGGACCGAACCGACUAAUGUUGAAAAAUUAGCGGAUGACUUGUGGCUAGGGGUGAAAGGCCAAUCAAACCUGGAGAUAGCUGGUUCUCCCCGAAAGCUAUUUAGGUAGCGCCUCGGACGAAUACUACUGGGGGUAGAGCACUGUUAAGGCUAGGGGGUCAUCCCGACUUACCAACCCUUUGCAAACUCCGAAUACCAGUAAGUACUAUCCGGGAGACACACGGCGGGUGCUAACGUCCGUCGUGGAGAGGGAAACAACCCAGACCGCCAGCUAAGGUCCCAAAUUACUACUAAGUGGGAAACGAUGUGGGAAGGCUCAGACAGCCAGGAUGUUGGCUUAGAAGCAGCCAUCAUUUAAAGAAAGCGUAAUAGCUCACUGGUCGAGUCGGCCUGCGCGGAAGAUGUAACGGGGCUAAGUAGUAAACCGAAGCUGCGGCAAUAUACUUUUGUAUAUUGGGUAGGGGAGCGUUCUGUAAGCGGUUGAAGGUGUGUGGUAACGCAUGCUGGACGUAUCAGAAGUGCGAAUGCUGACAUGAGUAACGAUAAAGGGGGUGAAAAACCUCCUCGCCGGAAGACCAAGGGUUCCUGUCCAACGUUAAUCGGGGCAGGGUAAGUCGACCCCUAAGGCGAGGCCGAAAGGCGUAGUCGAUGGGAAACGGGUUAAUAUUCCCGUACUUCUUACAAUUGCGAUGGGGGGACGGAGAAGGCUAGGUGGGCCUGGCGACGGUUGUCCAGGUUCAAGUGCGUAGGCUUAAGAGUUAGGUAAAUCCGGCUCUUUCUAAGGCUGAGACACGACGUCGAGCACCUACGGGUGUGAAGUCAUUGAUGCCAUGCUUCCAGGAAAAGCCUCUAAGCUUCAGAUUGUAAGGAAUCGUACCCCAAACCGACACAGGUGGUCGGGUAGAGAAUACCAAGGCGCUUGAGAGAACUCGGGUGAAGGAACUAGGCAAAAUGGUACCGUAACUUCGGGAGAAGGUACGCUCUUGAUGGUGAAGUCCCUCGCGGAUGGAGCUGACGAGAGUCGCAGAUACCAGGUGGCUGCAACUGUUUAUUAAAAACACAGCACUGUGCAAAAUCGUAAGAUGACGUAUACGGUGUGACGCCUGCCCGGUGCCGGAAGGUUAAUUGAUGGGGUUAGACUUCGGUCGAAGCUCUUGAUCGAAGCCCCGGUAAACGGCGGCCGUAACUAUAACGGUCCUAAGGUAGCGAAAUUCCUUGUCGGGUAAGUUCCGACCUGCACGAAUGGCGUAAUGAUGGCCACGCUGUCUCCACCCGAGACUCAGUGAAAUUGAAAUCGCUGUGAAGAUGCAGUGUACCCGCGGCUAGACGGAAAGACCCCGUGAACCUUUACUACAGCUUGGCACUGAACAUUGACCCUACAUGUGUAGGAUAGGUGGGAGGCUUUGAAGCACGUACGCCAGUAUGUGUGGAGCCGUCCUUGAAAUACCACCCUUGUAGUGUUGAUGUUCUAACGUCGACCCCUUAUCGGGGUUGCGGACAGUGCCUGGUGGGUAGUUUGACUGGGGCGGUCUCCUCCCAAAGAGUAACGGAGGAGCACGAAGGUGGGCUAAUCACGGUUGGACAUCGUGAGGUUAGUGCAAUGGCAUAAGCCCGCUUGACUGCGAGAAUGACAAUUCGAGCAGGUGCGAAAGCAGGUCAUAGUGAUCCGGUGGUUCUGAAUGGAAGGGCCAUCGCUCAACGGAUAAAAGGUACUCCGGGGAUAACAGGCUGAUACCGCCCAAGAGUUCAUAUCGACGGCGGUGUUUGGCACCUCGAUGUCGGCUCAUCACAUCCUGGGGCUGAAGUCGGUCCCAAGGGUAUGGCUGUUCGCCAUUUAAAGUGGUACGCGAGCUGGGUUUAGAACGUCGUGAGACAGUUCGGUCCCUAUCUGCCGUGGGCGUUGGAAGAUUGAAGGGGGCUGCUCCUAGUACGAGAGGACCGGAGUGGACGAACCUCUGGUGUUCGGGUUGUGUCGCCAGACGCAUUGCCCGGUAGCUAAGUUCGGAAUCGAUAACCGCUGAAAGCAUCUAAGCGGGAAGCGAGCCCUGAGAUGAGUCUUCCCUGAUACUUUAAGUAUCCUAAAGGGUUGUCGGAGACUACGACGUUGAUAGGUCAGGUGUGUAAGUGCUGUGAGGCAUUGAGCUAACUGAUACUAAUUGCCCGUGAG
RNAcentral lists this ribosomal RNA (2888 nucleotides) under Vibrio parahaemolyticus. RNAcentral's name for it is "bacterial LSU rRNA". It matches the Rfam family "Bacterial large subunit ribosomal RNA". Lineage: Bacteria; Pseudomonadati; Pseudomonadota; Gammaproteobacteria; Vibrionales; Vibrionaceae. The record is from RNAcentral.